RNAcentral lists this ribosomal RNA (236 nucleotides) under Aspergillus fumigatus. Its description in RNAcentral is "partial 28S ribosomal RNA". It matches the Rfam family "Eukaryotic large subunit ribosomal RNA", at positions 1897 to 2143 of the family's 3401-position model. Lineage: Eukaryota; Fungi; Ascomycota; Eurotiomycetes; Eurotiales; Aspergillaceae. The record is from RNAcentral.
AAUGUAGAUAAGGGAAGUCGGCAAAAUGGAUCCGUAACUUCGGGAUAAGGAUUGGCUCUAAGGGUCGGGCCCGCUGGGCCUUGGGGGAAACCCCUCGGAGCAGGGGGGCACUAGCCGGGCAACCGGCCGGCGCCCCCCAGCACUGGGGCGGGGACGCCCUUGGCAGGCUUCGGCCGUCCGGCGGGCGCUUAACGACCAACUUAGAACUGGUACGGACAAGGGGAAUCUGACUGUCA